UCGAGCGGACAGAAGGGAGCUUGCUCCCGGAUGUUAGCGGCGGACGGGUGAGUAACACGUGGGUAACCUGCCUGUAAGACUGGGAUAACUCCGGGAAACCGGAGCUAAUACCGGAUAGUUCCUUGAACCGCAUGGUUCAAGGAUGAAAGACGGUUUCGGCUGUCACUUACAGAUGGACCCGCGGCGCAUUAGCUAGUUGGUGGGGUAAUGGCUCACCAAGGCGACGAUGCGUAGCCGACCUGAGAGGGUGAUCGGCCACACUGGGACUGAGACACGGCCCAGACUCCUACGGGAGGCAGCAGUAGGGAAUCUUCCGCAAUGGACGAAAGUCUGACGGAGCAACGCCGCGUGAGUGAUGAAGGUUUUCGGAUCGUAAAGCUCUGUUGUUAGGGAAGAACAAGUGCGAGAGUAACUGCUCGCACCUUGACGGUACCUAACCAGAAAGCCACGGCUAACUACGUGCCAGCAGCCGCGGUAAUACGUAGGUGGCAAGCGUUGUCCGGAAUUAUUGGGCGUAAAGGGCUCGCAGGCGGUUUCUUAAGUCUGAUGUGAAAGCCCCCGGCUCAACCGGGGAGGGUCAUUGGAAACUGGGAUACUUGAGUGCAGAAGAGGAGAGUGGAAUUCCACGUGUAGCGGUGAAAUGCGUAGAGAUGUGGAGGAACACCAGUGGCGAAGGCGACUCUCUGGUCUGUAACUGACGCUGAGGAGCGAAAGCGUGGGAGAGCGAACAGGAUUAUAUACCCUGAUAGUCCACGCCGUACACGAUGAGUGCUA
This 774-nucleotide ribosomal RNA is filed under the name Bacillus safensis. RNAcentral describes it as "bacterial SSU rRNA". It matches the Rfam family "Bacterial small subunit ribosomal RNA", at positions 62 to 818 of the family's 1533-position model. Lineage: Bacteria; Bacillati; Bacillota; Bacilli; Caryophanales; Bacillaceae. The record is from RNAcentral.